GCGGCUGUGGCGUAAUUGGUAGCCGCGCCAGACUUAGGAUCUGGUGACGAAAGUCGUGGGGGUUCGAGUCCCUUCAGCCGCA
Molecule: transfer RNA, 82 nt
Filed under: Bacteroidota bacterium
Lineage: Bacteria; Pseudomonadati; Bacteroidota
Also listed under: 3 other names
Description: tRNA-Leu
Rfam family: tRNA
About the family: Transfer RNA (tRNA) molecules are approximately 80 nucleotides in length.
Source: RNAcentral